This is an RNA transcript of Ipomoea nil (Japanese morning glory), 944 nucleotides long. RefSeq lists it as uncharacterized. The transcript has 4 exons. Lineage: Eukaryota; Viridiplantae; Streptophyta; Magnoliopsida; Solanales; Convolvulaceae. The record is from RefSeq and is a predicted model, not a curated record.
AAGAUAAGAAUAAAAAGAACUAGCUUGUAUGUUUCUUAUAUAUACAAGCAAAUUAAUCAAAGCCAAAGAAAGAGGAGAAAUCAAGAGAGAGAGAGAUAAAAGCAUGGCAAUUAUCUCAGAUGAAGAUAUACAUCUAUCUCAGAUGGUGAGAAACUUCAUAGAAUUGGAUGAUUCUUCAUCAUCAUAUCAUCUUUCUGAUUAUUGGAGCCUUCAAGUUGAAUUCUUCGACCAAAACCCCACCACCUUUCUCUCUCUGCAGGAAAUUCUUGAGAGUGUCACAGAUUCAGAGGCGGAGAUUCUUGGGAAAAUCUUGUUUUAUUGGAGAGAAGUGAGGAAUUUGGAGGGUGAGAAGCUGAGGAAAUGGAUAGUAAGCAGAUUGAGAAUGGAUGAGUACGAAGCUUCCCUUUGUACAACUUCUUGGGUCACUACUUUUGGUCGCCCUUCAGCAUUUCGAUUCAGGGAUUGUUAUGAGUACAUUGAUGUGAUGAUGAAGAGUGGGGGUGAGAGUUUGAGGCUAAUAGUGGACACAGAUUUUAGGUCACAAUUUGAGUUGGGAAGGCCAACACAGGCCUACAAAGAACUCUCAAACUCUCUCCCUACCAUUUUUGUUGGGACUGAGGACAAACUCCACAGCAUCAUCUCCUUGCUAUGUGCAGCUGCCAAACAGUCCUUGAAAGAGAAUGGCCUUCAUGUACCUCCAUGGAGAAAAGCUUCUUACAUGCACUCCAAAUGGCUGUCUCAAAAUUGCAAAAAAUCUUCUUUCUCACCCCCUUUGCACAUGACACAUAUAGCAUAGGAAGAUUAUAUAUAUACUAUUUCUCCAAUUCUUGGAUAUGGUUUAUGAAAGAUAUAAUGAUUGUGGUUUGAUAAAGGAGUAAGAUUUUAUUGCUUUUCUUUUCCUUUAUGGCCAAAGUUUUGGGACAUUGUUUAAUUUUUGUAUUUUU